Molecule: ribosomal RNA, 465 nt
Filed under: Vreelandella stevensii
Lineage: Bacteria; Pseudomonadati; Pseudomonadota; Gammaproteobacteria; Oceanospirillales; Halomonadaceae
Description: partial 16S ribosomal RNA
Rfam family: Bacterial small subunit ribosomal RNA
Source: RNAcentral
CCUACGGGGGGCUGCAGUGGGGAAUAUUGGACAAUGGGCGAAAGCCUGAUCCAGCCAUGCCGCGUGUGUGAAGAAGGCCUUCGGGUUGUAAAGCACUUUCAGUGGGGAAGAAAGCCUUGGGGCUAAUACCCUCGAGGAAGGACAUCACCCACAGAAGAAGCACCGGCUAACUCCGUGCCAGCAGCCGCGGUAAUACGGAGGGUGCGAGCGUUAAUCGGAAUUACUGGGCGUAAAGCGCGCGUAGGCGGUCUGAUAAGCCGGUUGUGAAAGCCCCGGGCUCAACCUGGGAACGGCAUCCGGAACUGUCAGGAUAGAGUGCAGGAGAGGAAGGUAGAAUUCCCGGUGUAGCGGUGAAAUGCGUAGAGAUCGGGAGGAAUACCAGUGGCGAAGGCGGCCUUCUGGACUGACACUGACGCUGAGGUGCGAAAGCGUGGGUAGCAAACAGGAUUAGAUACCCGUGUAGUC